Molecule: long non-coding RNA, 5742 nt
Filed under: Homo sapiens (human)
Lineage: Eukaryota; Metazoa; Chordata; Mammalia; Primates; Hominidae
Description: HSALNT0061131
Source: RNAcentral
GAGGGCUCUGUUCUGUUCCAUUGGUCUAUAUCUCUGUUUUGGUACCAGUACCAUGCUGUUUUGGUUACUGUAGCCUUGUAGUAUAGUUUGUAGUCAGAUAGCAUGGUGCCUCCAGCUUUGUUCUUUUGGCUUAGGAUUGACUUGGCAAUGAGGGCUCUUUUUUAGUUCCAUAUGAACUUUAAAGUAGUUUUUUCCAAUUCUGUGAAGAAAAUCAUUGGUAGCUUGAUGGGGAUGGCACUGAAUCUAUAAAUUACCUUGGGCGGUAUGGCCAUUUUCACAAUGAUUCUUCCUAUCCAUGAGCAUGGAAUGUUCUUCCAUUUGUUUGUGUCCUCUUUUAUUUCGUUGAGCAGUGGUUUGUAGUUCUCCUUGAAGAGGUCCUUCACAUCCCUUUUAAGUGGGAUUCCUAGGUAUUUUAUCUCUUUGAAGCAAUUGUGAAUGGGAGUUCACUCAUGAUUUGGCUCUCUGUCUGUUAUUGGUGUAUAAGAAUGCUUGUGAUUUUUGCACAUUGAUUUUGUAUCCUGAGACUUUGCUGAAGUUGCUUAUCGGCUUAAGGAGAUUUUGGGCUUCUUUUGCUGUUUUUAGAAUUCUCUGUUUUUGACUUUUGACAGUUUGACUAUCAUUUGUCUCUGGGAAGACCUCUUUAGAUUGAAUCUAUUUGGGACUCCUUGAGUUUCCAGCUUCCAAAUGUCUAUGUCUCUAGCAAGACCUGGGAAGUUUUCAGCUAUUAUUUCAUUAAAUAGGCUGUCUAUACCUUUGCCCAUUUCUUCUCCUGGAACUCCCCAAAUUUGAAUUUUUGUUCUUUUGUGUCCCAUAUGUCACAUGGCUUGCUUUAUUGUUUUUUAUGUCUUAUUUCAAAAAACAUGUCUUCAGUUCAGAAAUUCUUUCUUCUGCUUUAUCUUGUCUUAUUAUGUUGUCUUCAAUAAGAUGAGGUUAUGUACGUUGUAGUCGGACUUCACUGGGGAUAGGGAAACCAGGUGAGCCAGUCAGUCCUCUAGCACCAGUGGCAGCAGCAGAAGGGUAGGUGGGCCAGUCCUCAGUCGCCUGGGUGGUGUACUUCAUGUGGCAGGCUCAAGUGCUGGCAGUGGUUGUGGCAGGUCAGGCAGGCAGGUCCUCAGGGCCCUGGGUAGCACUUGUGGUAUUGGCUGUGGCAGUAAUGUCAACAGGCUGGCCCUCAGGCGCUGGCAGCAUGAGUGGACUUGGCAGGUCUGUCCUCACACCCUUGGAUAGUGUGUGAGGGAGGAUUGUUCCUUAGGCCUCUUCACAGCAUGUACAGGUAUGAGGUGGCCCUGCUGCUGGAAGGGCAGGAUUGCAGUUGGUGGCAGCAGUCUCAGGAAGUCAGCUGCCAAGCUGCAGGGAAUGUACACUUUGGCCCUCUUUGUCCUUGGGGCAGCCUCCCUGAUGUGCUUCACCACCUAUUCUCUAGGGUGUAGGUUACCUUGUGGGCUAGAGUGCUGAGGAACUGGCCAUAGCACUGGGUCCAGCUGGCAUUGCAAUGCUGCAGCCCUCUAGGUGGUGGUGGGAGGAUGUCAGUGGGGCUCCAGGAAUGUGGAGAUGCAGGGGCUGUUGAGUCCCAGGGAGGAUGUAGUCUGGUGGGGACUGAGCUCUCAAAAUGGCACCAUGCUGCAGUUGCUUGGGUGUUGGCGGUCAGUGGGAUCCAGUGUGAAUUCCCUUUCUUGAACAAUGCAGUUUUGUGAACUCCAAGCAGCAACCUAUACUAGGCUCAGGGCCUGUUAGGGCCAAGGGGCUCUCUGGUGGCUAGGACUGCAGGCAUCCCUGGUGGGAAUGUGGACUAUUGGGAAUCUCCCCCUUACCUUUUCCUAGUAAUGGCAAGUUCCUUCCAGCUCUGAGCCAAUUCCAGCUGGGCUGGGUGCUUCUUUGUUUCUCUCUCCUUCUUUACCUCAGAGGUGCCCUGUCACUUUCCUGGUGAAUUCUAGUGUUCUCUCUGUCUACUUGAUGUGUGGUUAUCUAUUUGCUGCUUUGGUCCCACUUAGUGGAGGAGGUGAGUGCCAGGCACCUCAUCAGCCAUGUUGGUUACAUCUUGCCUAAAAGAACUUGACACAGAUCUUAAAAGGAACUUAUGGGCUAAUACCACUGAUUGAAAAAAAAAAAAGAUGCAAACCCCUCAAAUAUUAGCAAAUCAAAUCCAGGAAUACACAUUUAAAAACACUUCACAAUCAGCCGGGCACAUUGGCUCAUGCCUGUAAUCCCACCACUUUGGGAGGCCAAGGCUGGCAGAUCAUUUGAGAUCAGCAGUUCAAGACCAGCUGGGCCAACAUACUGAAACCAUGUCUCUACUAAAAAUACAAAAAUACAAAAAUAAAUAAAUAAAUAAAUAAAUAAAAAAUAAGCCAGGCUUGGUGGCAGUUACCUGUAAUCCCAGCUAUUUGGGAGGCUGAGGCAGGAGAAUCACUUGAACCCAGGAGAUGGAAGUUGCAGUGAGCUGAGAUUACGCCACUGCACUCUAGCCUAGGGGACAAAGCAAGACUCCUUCUUGAAGAAACAAACAACAACAAAAAAUUACAAUCAAUUUGGCUCAUUGCUGGAAUGCAAACUUCAUUUAAUAUUGAAACAUGACUCACCAAAUGAGAAAAACCUUAUGAUCAUUGGAAUAAAAUGCAGAAAAAUCAUCUGAUAAAUUUCCACAUCCAUUAAUAAUUUUUUAAAAAGUCCCUUAGCAAAUUAGAAAGCUAAGGUAGCUUCUUUAGUCUGAUAAAAGAGAUCCACCCAGGUAUUAAGCCCAGUACUCAAUAGCUAUCUUUUCUGCUUCUGGGCUUAAUACCUGGGUGAUGAAAUAAUCUGUACAACAAAACUGUGACACAAGUUUACCUAUGUUACAAGCCUUCGCAUGUACCCCCAAACCUAAAAGUAAAAAAAAAAAAUUUAAAAAGAGAAAAAUAGGAACACAAAAAUGCAGUAUUAAAACAUAACUGCAUAAAAUUAACUGUAGUACAUGACAUACUACUUUAAUAAUUUCGUAGCCACCUCUCAUUGCUAUUGUGAGUUCAAGUGUUGCCAAUAUCUGCUUAAAGUGCUGUGUGAUGCUAAUCAUCUCCGUGUGGGUAGUUCGUGUCUCUACUAAAUUAUGUAUCAUGGUGAAAAAAAAAAAUCCACAAAAAAAAAAAUCAACAGUAUUUUUAGGUGAUACAUACAAAAUCAAAAUAAUUUAUACAGGCCGGGCUCAGUGGCUCAUGCCUGUAAUCCCAACACUUUGGGAGGCCAAGGCGGACAGACUGCUUGAGUCCAGAAGUUUGAGGCCAACCUGGGCAACAUGGUAAACCUCCGUCUCUUAAAACAAACAAACAAACAAACAAAAAUUAGCUGCGUGUGGUGGUGCAUGCCUGUGGCCCCAGCUAUUCAGGAGGCUGAGGUCGGAGGACCACCUAAGCCCAGGAGACAGAGGUUGCAGUGAGCCGAGAGUACGCCACUGCACUCCAGCCUGGGUGACAUAGUGAGACCCUGUCUCAAGAAAAAAAAAAAAAAUUCAUACAAAUAAAUUGUUAGGAUUAAUUAGAAAGUUUAUAAGUCUGCUAAAUACAAACAUCAAAUGUAUUUGUGGACCUUUGCUCUGGAACUUUAUGAAAAUACAGGUUUGGCUGGGUGCGGUGGCUCAUGCCUAUAAUCCCAGCACUUUGGGAGGCUGAGGUAGGUGGAUCACCUGAGGUCAGGAGUUCGAGACCAGCCUGACCAAUAUGGUGAAACCCUGUCUUUAUUAAAAAUACAAAAAUUAGCUGGACAUGGUGGUGCAUACCUGUAGUCCCAGCUAAACUCGGGAGGUUGAGACAUAAUUGCUUGAACCUGGGAGGUGGAGGUUGAAGUGAAUCGAGAUCACACCACUGCACUCCAGCCUGGGCAACAAAGCGAGACUCCAUCUCAAAAAAUAAAUAAAUAAAUAAAUUAAAUUAAAUACAGGUUUGGGGGCUCCACCCCCAUUUCUAAAUCAGUAGCUCCAGGGCAGGGCUCAAGGAUGUGCAUUUCUUUUUUUUUUCUUUUUUUGAGAUGGAGUCUCACUCUGUUACCCAGGCUGGAGUGCAGUGGUGUGAUCUCGGCUACUGCAACCUCCGCCUCCUGGGUUCAAGUGAUUCUCCUACCUCAGCCUUUCGAGUAGCUGGGAUUACAGGAGCCAGCCACCAUGCCCAGCUAAUUUUUGUGUUUUUAGUAGAUACAGGUUUCACCAUGUUGGCCAGGCUAAUCUUGAACUCCUGACCUCAGGUGAUUCCCCGGCCUCGCCCUCCCAAAAUGCUGGGAUUACAGGUGUGAGCUGCCAGGCCCCACCAAGAAUCUGCAUUUCUAUGGGUACAAAAAAAAUAGUAAGAAUGAAUAAGAUCUAGUAUUUGAUAGCACAACAGAGUAACUAUAGUCGAUAAUUUAAUUAUAGAUCUUAAAAUAACUAAAAGAGUAUAACUGGAUUGUUUCUAAUACAAAGGAUAAAUGCUUGAGGUAAUGGAUACCCCAAUUACCCUGAUGCGAUAAUUACAUGUUAUAUGCCUGUAUCAAAAUAUUCCAUGUACCCCAUAUAUAUAUCUACUAUGUACUCACAAAAAUUAAAAAUUAAGAAUUUGCAUUUUUAACCAGUUCUCUCUGGUGAUGCUGAUGCUCCUCAUCAGGGGACCACACUUGGAGAAUGAUUGCUAUAGAUUAACAACAAUGAAACUUACAAUAAAGUCACUUACCCAGGAAUCUAACAAACGAUGCAUAAUAUGUAAACACAGAAUACUAUAAAUCAUUGCGGAUAUAAAUGAAAGAUAAUCUAAAUAAAUGGGUACUCCACUUACAUAUUUUGGAAAACUCAAUAUUCUGGAGAUGUCAAUUUGUCUCAACCUUGUCUAUAGCUUAAUGCAAUUUGAUUCAAAAUUUCCAUAGAUUUCUAUUUGUGGAACCCAAUAAAUCUGAAAUGUAUACUGAGGCAUUGUGAGUAAAGAGCACAGAUAAUUAAAAUAGGCUUCUUACUUUCUGGGUUUGAAUACUGGCUCCAUCAACUACUCUGUGACUAUGGUCACGUUACUUAACCCUUCAAAGAAAACAGGAAAGAUACAAUUUGGUGCCCAUAUGGGAAAAACAGUUGACUUGAACUUCACUGAUUUGGCAUGUAUUUAUCAAGGCCCUCCUUUUGGCUGAGGAGACCCCUCUGGAAAGAAUGGUAUCCAUUUCUUCCUGGCAGUGUUCACCAUUCUCCAAACCACUGACCUGCGGCCUGGUUCAUGAAAUGGUGGGUGGCUACUAGACAAAGAUCUCUGAACAAACCUGUCCUUCCAUAGUUCUAUUCCUGGAAGUCUCAGUGAGUCUACACCAGCCCUGGAAAUGAGGAAUUCAGGGGCCAACUCCCAUCCUCAGCUGAGUUAUUUCCAAGGAACUGGACUGCUCCAGCAUCUGCCCCAUGAACAAGAGCUCCAAAGCAGCAGAGUCUGGCCUUGGCUCAGUGCCAAGUAACUACCCAGACUUCAGGACACCUCCCAUAUGCAUGGCUCCUUACCUCAGGCUCCCACCAAAGUCCAGGGGGCCUCCUAUACCAUGCCUGAUGAGGCUGGGAAACAAGGGGAGAAGUCAGGGAAGAGGCCAUAAUAAGCCUUAGCCUAUUCCUGAGGUUGGUUUGUCUACUGACUUGGCCAUUUCUUGGAGUUCCAGUGCCAAGUUCCAAAGGCCCAGUCUACCCAUAAAGAAGAGGCUCACCCAUUCCAAGAGCAGCCGAAACCAGCUCACUCAUUUAUUUGACUGAGAACAUUAAGAAGGACAACAAAAUUAAAC